CCAAUGAGUGACCCUGAGUGACCCCUGAAUGACCAAUGAGUGACCAAUGAGUGACCAAUGAGUGACCAAUGAGUGACCCUGAGUGAUGUCACCUGUCUCACCUGUCCCUGUCUCACCUGUCUCACCUGUCCGUCUCUCACCUGUCCAUCUCUCACCUGUCUCACCUGUCUCUCACCUGUCCGUCUCUCACCUGUCUCUCACCUGUCUCACCUGUCUCUCACCUGUCUCUCACCUGUCCAUCUCUCACCUGUCCAUCUCUCACCUGUCUCUCACCUGUCUCUCACCUGUCCCAGGUGGGCGGGGACGUCCCAGAGACCAAUUACCUGUUCAUGGGCGACUUCGUCGACCGCGGCUUCUACAGCGUCGAGACCUUCCUGCUGCUGCUGGCCCUGAAGAUUUUCUGCGUGCACGGCGGCCUCUCGCCGUCCAUCCAGACGCUGGACCAGAUCCGCACCAUCGACCGCAAGCAGGAGGUGCCGCACGACGGCCCCAUGUGUGACCUGCUCUGGUCCGACCCCGAGGGUACGGCGGGCACGGGGGGCGGGGGGGGACAGGGGGGGACAGGUGAGGGACAGGUGAGGGACAGGUGAGGGACAGGUGAGGGACAGGUGAGACAGGCAAAAAAAACCCAAAAAAAUCCCAAAAUCCCCGAGGUUUUAUCCCAAAAUUCACUGAAUUGGCCUCAAAAAUCACCUGAAUUGGCCCCAAAAAUCACCUGAGUUGUCCAUGGUGAGGGACAGGUGAGGGACAGGUGAGACAGGCAAAAAAAACCCCAAAAAAAUCCCAAAAUCCCCGAGGUUUUACCCCAAAAUUCACUGAAAUGGCCUCAAAAAUCACCUGAAUGGGCACCAAAAAUCACCUGAGUUGUCCAUGGUGAGGGACAGGUGGGCACAGGUGGGCACAGGUGACACACGCAAAAAACCCCCAAAAAAUCCCAAAAUUCCUGAGGUUCUACCCCAAAAUUCACUGAAAUGGCCUCAA
Molecule: long non-coding RNA, 981 nt
Filed under: Chloebia gouldiae (Gouldian finch)
Lineage: Eukaryota; Metazoa; Chordata; Aves; Passeriformes; Passeridae
Description: Erythrura gouldiae (Gouldian finch) lncRNA (ENSEGOG00005018826.1)
Source: RNAcentral